GUACUUGGGCGCAGGGAGAUACCACAAUCAUGAAGGUGGUUUUCCCAGGAGGGAGGCUGAGCCACUGCAAUCCGGGUGUGCUGACCCCUGUGAUUUCCCCAAAUGUGGGAAAUUUGACUAAUUUAUGGUAGUGGGGCUGUGUUCAUGCUUUCCCCUC
Small nuclear RNA from Suricata suricatta (meerkat), 157 nucleotides. Its record names the gene U1. It matches the Rfam family "U1 spliceosomal RNA". From Rfam's summary of the family: U1 is a small nuclear RNA (snRNA) component of the spliceosome (involved in pre-mRNA splicing). Its 5' end forms complementary base pairs with the 5' splice junction, thus defining the 5' donor site of an intron. There are significant differences in sequence and secondary structure between metazoan and yeast U1 snRNAs, the latter being much longer (568 nucleotides as compared to 164 nucleotides in human). NCBI's taxonomy places the organism in Eukaryota, Metazoa, Chordata, Mammalia, Carnivora, Herpestidae. The record is from Ensembl.